CGGCGGCGGCGGCGCCUCGCCGGCUGCUCUGCUCGCAAAGUCCGGCCGGCCGAGGCAGCCGGCAACUCCUCUCAACUUCUGCCGAUCGGCGGGCGAAGCCACACGCUCCCUGCGCGUCCCUCCCGGGGGCUGAGCGGGUCUUCAAUGCAACAAAAUGGAUUGAAUAGUACAAGUGAAAUGCUUAGAACAUGCCUGGCUCAUGUUAAGAACACGGACACUGCACUCACAUUUCAAGGCCCUGAGCUGGGGGGCUCUGAGUUCAACUCAAUGAAGCCCUUCUCACGUGCUGGAGAUUCUCCCAGACGUAAUGUGUCCUCGUGAGGUUCUUUCAACAACUCUGUGAAGUUGAUAUACUGUCGCUGUCUCCACAUCAUAACAGAUGACACAAAAACACAAGAGAACUGCCCGUGUGGUGGAGUGGGCUUGCGAAUCCAGGAUGCCAGCAUGAUCUUCCAGAGGUCACCCAGGGUUCCAGGGACAGGGGGUGGGUCCCAACCUUGCUGAGAAUCAUCCAGAGAGUUUUAGAAACACCAUGCUCUGGUUCUACCCCCAGAAACUAAGACUUAGUUAAGAAGAAACUAGUACCUGGAUCUUUUUUUAAGUCCCCGGAUGAGUCUAACAGGUAGUCAUGGUUGAGGACAGUUGGCUAUUUAGAGAUGAAAAGACCCAUUUGAGGAAAUAUCCCUAAGUCACAGAGAAGACCCAUCCAAAACUGUAAGAAGCCUCACAUUAUCAAAAUGUCCAUCCCUAACAGAGGUCCUUGAGAGAGUAAAGCUGUGCUGUGGGUUGGCUGAGUAUGCAGAGGUUUUUGAAGGACCUUGGGGAGGACUAUGCUGUAAUUGGACCAGUUAUCCUGCCUAACCCCUUCAUGGAUCACUGCCUUGUCGUGGCAAAGGGGCUUGCAUAACUCAAUGAAGCUAUGAGCCAGGCCAAGCAGGGCCACCCCAGAUAGACGGGUUGGGGUGGUUAUAUCUCCAGGAGAUGGUGGGGGACAGGGAGGCCUAGUGUGCUGCAGUCCAUGGGGUCAUAGACAGACAUGACUUAGCAACUGUACAACCACAAUCCUUCUUUAUGAGAUGCCACAGAAAAACCAAGUCGCCUGUCACUAGAAGGGUUCAGUUGGACUCAUUAUUUGGCAUAGAUGUAGUAGCAGAGCUGCAAACUCUGGAAGGCUGAGCAAUGCCUCUGAUGUUCCAUCCACCCCAUCUUCGUCUCCUCCAAGCCCCACCCCCGGAAGAUGAAGACCGUGUGUAGUAGAUGUUCUUCAGAAGCCAGCCAACCCUUCCUCUGCUGCCUCCCCAAAUCCAGCACCUGGGCUCAGGGUGCAGUUUCUCUGGCCUGCACACAUACUGUUUAGGGAAACCCAGAUGCCAGCUUGUUCAAAUGUGGUUGCUGCAAUAAGAGGGGAUGUAUAAGACGUGUCACGUGGCUCCCCACCCCCGAGUCCUCCUCCUCGGGGGAGCUCACACGUGGCCAGGGCUCACAUAUGGCUGAGACACGCUGCAGUGAAUCCAUGGCGCCUCAAGAAUCAGGCCACAGUCGUUAUCCAUCACCACCUCCCAGCAGCAAACCCAGCACUGUUCUUAGUGUCUUCUGGGAGGUGGGAGCCAAGCCAAGGCUGCAGCAGCCAGCUACCUGGCUGAGCCUUCAGACAGCCCCUCACCUGGGGAGUUCUCCUGCACGAAGACUCCACAGUCCUAUUUCUCCCCAAUUCAAGCCAAAUUGUUUCUUAAACUACGUUCCCCAAAACAACUUGAAGAGUGCCACCAAUGCCUGCAAAGUAAUGUGAGUUUCUUCCCUUUUUUUUUCCAUUGCCAUAAAAACCAGAAUGUUAUUUCUUCUUUACUCUGAUAAUGUCUGAUUAAAUGGAUUCAUUGUAGUCUUCUGCUGGA
Long non-coding RNA from Bubalus bubalis (water buffalo), 1892 nucleotides. RefSeq lists it as uncharacterized. The record is from RefSeq and is a predicted model, not a curated record. Lineage: Eukaryota; Metazoa; Chordata; Mammalia; Artiodactyla; Bovidae. The transcript has 2 exons.